AAAAUGAAAAAGAAGAAAAAGAAAAGAAAAAAAUGAGAAAAGUUUGAUUAUAUGUAAAGGGCAGAACACCACCUGACCAUCACCCCUCGUUCUGGAUCGUUCGGCCACUCCCGACCGACACUUCGCUCAUUUCUCUCUGCCACGUAUGUCUCGAGAACCCUGCUUCUUCCGGUCACUCCACGUCUCGAGGCCUCAGUGAACACCUAACCGAGUCUACCUCGAGCCUCGCCAACACCCAGACGGCAGAGCACUUCCUGGACUCUUCAAGGACAAGCCUCUCCUCUGCUGCCCUGGCUUCACCCUCUCUCUACUUCUCGGCGCCGUCAACGAGUCUGUCUUCAGUGUUGGUGAGAUUAGUGUUCUGUGGCCUUCAUUCGCUCUGGAGGGAGACUCUUGGUGAGACCUGGGUGGUGUGCAAGGUGUCCAUUUUGUUAUAUUGUGUAUACCUGUGUUUUCCAAGUCUAGUAAACUUGGAACCAUUCGAAGCUGUUUAUUACCGCCCCUACCGGGUGAAGUGUACAUCCUGGGCUUAGUUUAGUGGGGGCAGGCCAGUGAUGGCGUUUCGCACCUCGCCUCCGGAACAAAUGGACUAAACUAGUAAGUUAUUACUUACAUUCUGGCGACCUCGCCACGAUAUUUAACUUAGUUUCUUUGGGGUGUUGAAUGUGUAGUGCAGAGUUACACUUCGGCGACCUCGCCAGGGUAUUUAACUUAGUCUCUUUGGGGUGUUGAAUGUGUUAGUGCCGAGUUGUGCGAACUUGCUGUUUCCCCAGUUUUUCUGUGCCUAAGUGUUUCAGUGGUGCAAUGUUUUUCUUUCUCGGACGUGUUGUGUAGUUAUACGUUCGUCCUCAGUGAAUUGAGGAAGAUUAGGUGCAGACCCACGUGUCCUCGAAUUUACACUUGAUUAAGUGCAGGUCCAGUGCCUUUUAGCCACCCCUCGUUCUCUUGGUUUAGCCACCCCUCGUUCUCUUGGACGAGCAGCCGCUAAUCCGGGGAUUUCGGCUGGUUCACAGUACCUUACUGUGGCUUGUGGCAGCGGAGUAUUUUGACGUCUUAUUUUGUCUCCUAGACGUUGUCUCCUAGACGUAAGUGUGGAGUAGCCAUUGCUCCUACACAGGAACUAGUUAUGCUCAGUGCUUGCUAGUGAGUCUCUGUACAUAUACUUUGUGUGCUGUCCUUGUGUGAGUGUCCUUGUGUGGGGUUCACUUGUAACUAUGUGUACGUUUUGCUUGACUGUAUGUGGUGCGAGUGAUGAAGUAAUCUCUAUCUACCUGUGAGAUAUUUGAUCCAUUUUUGGGUGUGGUUGUGCACUUCAUCAAUUUUUCUACCCUUGUGGUUUAUUUUAUACAUGCAUAAUUCAUGUGUGCGUGAGACAAGACAGUUUUCAUGGUUGACUCAACUGUGUCUUGACUGUUUAAUUCAUAUUAAGGGAUUCCCCUGUCCCUAGAUUUUAAAGUCUCUGCGUUGUUGGGUUUGGUAGUUUUGGUUCUAUUAUAAUCUAAGAUGUCUACUUUUGCUCUGCUUGCAAAACAAGCAAUAAAGCUCGGCCUCUCAGGAGAGGCCGUUGCUCAGUUUGCUCCAACAAGCUCUUCCAACGGGAAGAGCGCAGGAACGUCAACGAGAAAGGGAGCGUGAGGAACGAGAAAGGGAGCGUCAGGAACCAGAACGGGACGAACGUGAGAAGGAACGGGUAUUUGAACUUGCCUGCCAAGUUGAAUUUUAGUUUAGGGAGCGUGAGGAACGAGAAAGGGAGCGUCAGGAACCGUCACGGGACGAACGUGAGAAGGAACGGGUAUUUGAACUUGCCUGCCAAGUUGAAUUUUAGGGAGCGUCAGGAACCAGAACGGGACGAACGUGAGAAGGAACGGGUAUUUGAACUUGCCUGCCAAGUUGAAUUUUAGUUUAGAGUCGGGAGCACAUCCUACCCGAUGCUGGCGUGCGAGGACCGUAGCUUCCAGCUUACUAAGGAGAGGACAUCGCCGCCUACCUGACCAUUGAGCGUAUUGCUACGCUCUUAAUCUACGUGGAGUCUCGCUGUCAGAUUUGGGAGUCUACUGACGGGUAAAGCUGCUGAACUCUGUUCCACCUUUAGCACUGAUACCAUAAGUAUUUCUCCUCCUAAAAGGGGAUCUCCUGACUGGUUUUGACAAGAAUCCAGAGCGGCACCGGCUAGACUUCAGGAACUGUAUGAUCAGAGUGGGGAAAAUUGCCGCCAGAUGUCUACCAGUCUUCAGCAGGUAUUUGACUCCUGGGUGGAGUCUUGUCGUAUUUCAGCAACGUUUGAAUCCCUUCGUGAGUUUAUCAUUUUAGAUCGGUUCAUUGCUUCCCUUUCUUACGAUCUCCGUAUCUUAAAGGAGCAGGAUACCACCAACCUUAAGACUGCCGUGGUUAAGGCUGGUAUUUGGUCUGCAGCUCACAACGCCUACCCUAAGCAGAACUCCAGCAGAGCCACUGGGAUAUUACCUACCAUAACAGGGCCUCAACAUCUACUGAAAAGGGCAGUGGUUAAGGCUGGUAUUUGGUCUGCAGCUCACAACGCCUACCCUAAGCAGAACUCAGCAGAGCCACUGGGAUAUUACCUACCAUAACAGGGCCUCAACAUCUACUGAAAAGGGCAAUGAGGCCAUUAACGCUAAACCGGACCAAACAAGCUACUUCCGGAUGAAGUGUUACAACUGGCAUGUAAGGUCUGUGUCCAAAGGAUCCCAGAGCCUUUAAAGAACCACAGGACAAAUACAAGGUAGGAUUUUGUAUGGAUGAGCGGUCUCUCCCGGAUUAUGCAUUUGCCGGCAUGAUCAACGGCUCCUGGGCUACUAUUGUCGGACACCGGCUGCAAUUGCGUGAUCGUCUCUGAGAAGGCAGUGCCUGAUGCUGACUUCUCUCAGCGACCUAAGGUAGUAGAGGACUAUCUUGGCUGGGAAGAUAUUUUUCCAACCAUUAGGUGCUAUUUAAGAUGACCCUAUUUCGAGGGUUGGAUUGAUAAUGCUAUCCUAGCUCCUAUGAAGCGCGCUUGUGUCCUCAUUGGCAAUAUCUUAUGAGUUCGUAGUCCUGGUGAGCCGUCUCAAGAAUAUAGCAAAGCACCAUCCUCCUCGCUCUGUCAUGUCGGUGAUUUGGCUGGUUAUGCUUCAGUCUUCUCUGCCCACUACGAGCAUAUGCUGUGUUAACCCGCAGUAGCAGAAUGAAGCGUGAUCAUCCUCUAGUUUUACCAGAAUUGCAACCCUUGGACGUGACUUCAGAGGAUUUCGCUCGUCUUCAAGAGUGUCCGUCUCUUAAAUCUUAGGAACAAGUUAACACAGAUGAAGAGGAGCGGACAAAGGACGGCUCUACUUUGUUACCUUCGCUGUACCGGACGUCUCUACCGGAAGUGUCUGCCCUCGAAACGUCCAGCAAAGAGUGGCGGUCGAUUUGUUUAGACCACUGUCUCCCCCAUCCUCGGAAAGCCACGGGUACAUCCUCACUUUAAUAGACUACGCCACUGGGUUCCCAGAAGCCGUGCCACUGAAGGAAAUAGACUCCAUCUCCGUUGCUGAGGCCUUACUCUCCAUCUUCGCUAGAGUCGAGAUCUAUGGGAGGACCGGAACCUGAAGGACGACGACCGAUCCGCUGUCCGCUGUGUGGUAGAGCUACAGGAGAAGCUAGCAGAGACCGCGCAGAUCGCCGCCAACAAUGCAGACAUCAGUGCCUCGAAAUAUAAGAACUACUUUGACAUGGUCAAGAUAGACGGUUUCAACCUGGCGAUGAAGUCAUUCUUCCCAGCGAUUCUAGCAAGCUUCUUGUAACUUGGAAAGUAACUUGUACAGUUUAAGAGCGACGAGGUAAUGUUGACUACCUAAUUGAUUAUCCCCAAGGUCCGAGAUUGUACCACGUCAACCUCUUAAAAACCUUCCGGCUUCUUAAAACGUUACAUCCGUCGUGCUAGUGCCAGCUUUGCUAGAGUCUUGGACGUAAUGUCAACACCUGAAAGAGUCUUGGACGUAAUGUCAACACCUGAAGAGACCGAAGAGUAUGUCCCGGAGAACAACCACCUUAUUUGUGAAGACGACCCAGAGGACGAGUGCUACUCUCAGCCUGUGACACCUGAUGGCUGCUCCGACAAGGAUAGACGAUCCAGGAUCAAUUAAUUUCAUAAGGUGACAUCGAGUAUCUCCUGUCAGUUUGACGAUUGUUUUCUCAUGUUCCUGGGUGUACUUCCUCUGAACAUAUUAUCUUAACUACCACUGUCUGCAUCAGCACAAAGGUUUACCCUGUCCCUGUCCAUCUUAAAACGUUUCUUUGAACAGAAAAUCUCUGACCUUUUGAGAAAGGAAUCAUCCGACGGUCUUCUCAACAUUGUUCGCCGGUCGUGAUGGUUCCUAAGCCAGACAACACUUGUCGGAUGGCCAUCGACUGCCGUCAACUCGAAAGCCUCAGUCUUCCAGGCUGAGCCCAGCUGCAACAUUGAGGAAGAUGUGUACAAGUUUUCCGGUUCAAGAUUCUUCACUGAGUUAGAUCUCUGCAAGGCUUAUUACCAAGUCCCUUUGACAGAGCCAUGCCACUGACAGCUUUCCCAACCCACUUGGGCCUAAUGGAGUUCACCAGACUACCUUUCGGCCUGGUCACUGCUUGUGCCACCUAUAUCAAGCUCGCAAACGUGGCUUUUUAUUUUGAUAAUGUUUUUAUAUACUCUUCAGACUGAGCCCUGCAUUUAAAGACCCUUCAUGCCAUGCUGGACAGAAUCAGGACCCAUGGACAUGCAUUCAAGAUCUCCAAGUGCCAUUUUGGAUUCCCUUCCAUUCUAUACCUUGGAUUAAUUUUGGGAGGUGACUGUCUUCAUACCCAGCCUGACAAAGUGGAAGCGCUCUGCAAGAUACCACCACCAUCCACUGAGAAACUUCUACGAGGAUUUAUUGGAAUAGUAAGUUUCUACAAGUCUUUUAUCCCUCGGGCAUCCUUCCUCACUGGCCCUCUGACUGAUCUGCUAAAAGACUGUUCGUGAGCCCCUUCCCUGGACGGACGGGUUGCAGGCCUGUUUCGACCAGCUCAAAUUAAUCCUCUUCUAACCCCAUACUUCGUCUUCCCGAUCCUAGCCGUCCUUUUGUACUUGGACGGACGCAAGAAUGAUCGCCUUCACAAAUGGAGUCCAGGACUGCAACCAUACAAAGUCAGGGUCGUUCAUGUUGCUGGAGCUGACAAUCUAUGUGCCGACCUCAGUUGAGUUUAAAUAUUUUCUUCUAUCCUUUCUUUUCUCCAGAAGGCAUUGCAUUCCCUAGGAGUGGUGUUCUACAAGACUGCCGUGGCUACUCUCUUGGAGGGGGGAGUUAUGUAAAGGGCAGAACACCACCUGACCAUCACCCCUCACCACCUGACCAUCACCCUCGUUCUGGAUCGUCCGGCCACUCCCAAGCGACACUUCGCUCACUUCUCUCUGCCACGUAUGUCUCGAGAACCCUGCUUCUGGUCCCUCCACGUCUCGAGGCCCCAGUUAACACCUAACCGAGUCUACCUCGAGCCUCAUCAACACCCAGACGGCAGAGCACUCCCUGGACUCUCAAGGACUGGCCUCUCCUCUGCUGCCCUGGCUUCACCCUCUACCUGCUUCCUGGCGAUGUCAACGAGUCUGCCUACAGUGUUGGUGAGAUUAGUGUUUCUCUGGCCCUUCCUCGCUCUGGAGGGAGACUCUUGGUGAGAGCCGGGUGGUGUGCAGGGUGUCGUUGUUGUUAUUGUAUACCUAUGUUUUUGUAAGUCUAGUAAACUUGGAACCAUU
This 5743-nucleotide long non-coding RNA is filed under the name Portunus trituberculatus (swimming crab). RNAcentral describes it as "uncharacterized LOC123512620, transcript variant X1". The record is from RNAcentral. Lineage: Eukaryota; Metazoa; Arthropoda; Malacostraca; Decapoda; Portunidae.